RNAcentral lists this ribosomal RNA (584 nucleotides) under uncultured bacterium. Its description in RNAcentral is "partial 16S ribosomal RNA". It matches the Rfam family "Bacterial small subunit ribosomal RNA", at positions 355 to 926 of the family's 1533-position model. The record is from RNAcentral.
UGGGGAAUAUUGCACAAUGGGCGCAAGCCUGAUGCAGCCAUGCCGCGUGUGUGAAGAAGGCCUUCGGGUUGUAAAGCACUUUCAGCGAGGAGGAAGGUGGUGAGCUUAAUACGCUCAUCAAUUGACGUUACUCGCAGAAGAAGCACCGGCUAACUCCGUGCCAGCAGCCGCGGUAAUACGGAGGGUGCAAGCGUUAAUCGGAAUUACUGGGCGUAAAGCGCACGCAGGCGGUUUGUUAAGUCAGAUGUGAAAUCCCCGGGCUCAACCUGGGAACUGCAUUUGAAACUGGCAAGCUAGAGUCUCGUAGAGGGGGGUAGAAAUUUCCAGGUGUAGCGGUGAAAUGCGUAGAGAUCUGGAGGAAUACCGGUGGCGAAGGCGGCCCCCUGGACGAAGACUGACGCUCAGGUGCGAAAAGCGUGGGGCAGCAAACAGGAUUAGAUACCCUGGUAGUCCAGCGCUGUAAACGAUGUCGAUUUGGAGGUUGUGCCCUUGAGGCGUGGCUUCCGGAGCUAACGCGUUAAAUCGACCGCCUGGGGAGCACGGCCGCAAGGUUAAAACUCAAAUGAAUUGACGGGUCAUAGCUG